UAUUAUCCAUGAAUUGCAGCCCGACUUGAGCGGAACUCCUUUUUUGAAUUGCAAAAGCUUUGGCAAAAAGAGUGGGAGCGGAAGGCGGAAAUGCUG
RNAcentral lists this unclassified non-coding RNA (96 nucleotides) under Soonwooa buanensis. RNAcentral's name for it is "Flavo-1 RNA". The record is from RNAcentral. Lineage: Bacteria; Pseudomonadati; Bacteroidota; Flavobacteriia; Flavobacteriales; Weeksellaceae.